This 293-nucleotide ribosomal RNA is filed under the name uncultured bacterium. Its description in RNAcentral is "partial 16S ribosomal RNA". It matches the Rfam family "Bacterial small subunit ribosomal RNA", at positions 505 to 796 of the family's 1533-position model. The record is from RNAcentral.
GUGUCAGCAGCCGCGGUAAUACGUAGGGACCAAGCGUUGUUCGGAUUUACUGGGCGUAAAGGGCGCGUAGGCGGCAAAUUAAGUCAUCUGUGAAAUCUCCGAGCUUAACUCGGAACGGUCAGGUGAUACUGAUCUGCUAGAGUGCGGAAGGGGCAAUCGGAAUUCUUGGUGUAGCGGUGAAAUGCGUAGAUAUCAAGAGGAACACCUGAGGUGAAGACGGGUUGCUGGGCCGACACUGACGCUGACAGCGCGAAAGCCAGGGGAGCAAACGGGAUUAGAAACCCUCGUAGUCC